UCUGCUCCCUGGAGCGUGUCCUGCCCUGGGGCUCGGUUUUUACUUGGGAACUUUUCAAACCGACGCAGGAGGACAGAGAGCAAGUGCACGCCCCACCGGCCACACACGCUGUCCUCACCCCACGCUGGGGGAGCCACGGGAGCCGUCGGGAGGAUUUGCUGCAGUUUCUCUAACUGUUUCACCGUCUCUGGACACGACGGGUCAUUUCCAAUCUCCCCACCCGCCUCCUCUGCGCAAAUCUCUGACCUCAUUUCUGUCUUCCCGUCUGAGAUGAACUUCCGGGAGGGAAUUGCCGAGGUACCAGGUCGGAACAGGGACCCUGUUUCACCCCACCCUUCCAACACCGGGGAAUCAACGUCUUUAUUUGUCCCCACUUGAUGGAUUAAAAAACAUUUUAAAAGCGCA
Molecule: long non-coding RNA, 405 nt
Organism: Lemur catta (Ring-tailed lemur)
Lineage: Eukaryota; Metazoa; Chordata; Mammalia; Primates; Lemuridae
Exons: 2
Source: RefSeq, a predicted model, not a curated record